Molecule: ribosomal RNA, 495 nt
Filed under: Tritonoranella latitudo
Lineage: Eukaryota; Metazoa; Mollusca; Gastropoda; Littorinimorpha; Bursidae
Description: partial 16S ribosomal RNA
Rfam family: Bacterial large subunit ribosomal RNA
Source: RNAcentral
AUAAGGAGUCGGACCUGCCCAGUGAAAUAUUUUUAACGGCCGCGGUACUCUGACCGUGCAAAGGUAGCAUAAUCAUUUGCCCUAUAAUUGAGGGCUAGUAUGAAUGGUUUGACAAGAAUAAAGCUGUCUCCGUGUAAUUAUAUAGAAUUUUAUUUUUAGGUGAAGAAGCCUGAAUUAUAUUAAAAGACAAGAAGACCCUAUCGAGCUUUAAAGAAAUUAAUAAAGUAAUAAUAAAUAUUAAUUAAAAUAAAUUUUAUUAAAAAUUUUGGUUGGGGCGACAAAGGAACAGUUAAAGCUUCUUUUCGAAUAACAAGACCUACAGGUAAUUGAUCCAGAAUAAUUCUGAUUAAAGAAAUUAGUUACCGUAGGGAUAACAGCAUUAUCUUUUUUGAGAGCUCAUAUCGAAAAAAAGGUUUGUGACCUCGAUGUUGGACCAGGAUAUCCAGAAGAUGCAGAAGUCUUCAAGGGUUGGUCUGUUCGACCAUUAAAAUCCUA